GAGGAUCUUAAAUGUGAUUGAUGACAAGACUGAAGAGGAGCUAUCUCAGACUGGAUAGAGAAAAGCAGUCACUCUGUGACGACUGGAUACAGAAGAUGAAGGUUUUUAAAGCUGGUGUGGAUGAACCAAAUCCAGAUGUAAUGACAGGUGUGCACAACAAAUUCCAUGCACAGGAAAAUGUAAACAUGGGAACAAUAGUACAUACUAAGGUAAUCCUGUGUGUAGGACGUCAUCCUGACAUCGUGAGGAAACAGAAGAAUGAAGACACCUCAUUGAACUCUUGUCACAGGAACAAAUAACAGAACCACAGAAUUAUUUAGCUUGGAAAAAACCUCUGAGAUCAUUGAGUCCAACCUUUGACUGAUCACCGCCUUGCUAACUAGACCAUGGCACUAAGUGCCAUGUCCAGCUGUUUCUUGAACAUUUCCAGGGAUGGUAAUUUCACCAUUUCCCUGGGCAGUGAAUGACCCUUUCCAUGAAGAAAGGGAUCAUCCUUCUGAUGUUCAACCUGAACCUCCCCUAGCGCAGCUUAAGGCCUUUUCCUCUUGUCCUGUCACUGGUUGCCUGGGAGAAGAGACUGACCCCCACACUGCUAUAACCUCCUUUCAGGAGAGAAAGAAGAGUGAUAAGGUCACCCCUGGACCUCCUUUUCUCCAUGCUAAACAACCUAAACUCCCUCAGCCAGUUCUCAUAGGACUUUACCCUCCAGACCCUUCACCAGUUUUGUUGCUAUUCUCUGAACUCACUCCAGCACUGCAAUGUCUUUCUUGGAGUGAGGGGUCCAAAACUGGACACAAGAUUUGGGGUGUGGCCUCAUCAGUGCCAAGUACAGGGGGUGAUCACUGCCCUGGUCCUACUAGCCACACAAUUUUUGAUACAGGCCAGGAUGCCAUUGGCCUUCUAGGUCACCUGGGAACACUGCUAGCUCAUGUUCACUCAGCUGUUAACCAGCACCCCCUGCUCCUUUUCUUUGGGCAGCUUUCCAGACACUCUGCCCCCAGCCUGCAGCACUGCAUGGGGUAGUUGUGGCCAAAGUCUAGGACACAGCAAUUGGCAGUGUUGAGCAUUAUACAGGUGACCUUGGCCCAUUGAUCCAACCUUUCCCUUUGCAGAGCCUUCCUACCCUCCAGCAGAUCAAAACUUCCACUCAGCUUGGUGUCAUCCAUGAAUUUAUUGAGUGGUGCACUUGAUCCCCUUGUCAUUGAUAAAGAUAUCAAACAGAAUUGGCCCCAAUACUGAAUCCUGGGGAACACCACUUGUGAUGAGACACCAACUGGAACAAUAACGACAGUAACGUUGUCCAAAACAAAAACUAUUUUGUCUUCAUUAAGAUACAACUAAAUUAUUCAAUUAUAAAAUCUAAUGCAUCCUUGUUUUCUUUAAAAUAUUACUCAAAAAAAGACAAUAUAGACAAGAUACCAAAAUUGAAAAACGAAUUUUUUGAAGCAUAAAAUAAUUUUUCAAAAACACCUAACCUUGCUGAAUUCACAUUCUUCUCUCGCAUUACCCUGAUUAGGAGAAUGCUUUCUUUGUUCAUGAUUGAAGCAAGAGAGUUAAAAAUUUGCAUAUGUUAAUAUUGAAA
Long non-coding RNA from Chiroxiphia lanceolata (lance-tailed manakin), 1582 nucleotides. RefSeq lists it as uncharacterized. The record is from RefSeq and is a predicted model, not a curated record. The transcript is spliced from 2 exons. NCBI's taxonomy places the organism in Eukaryota, Metazoa, Chordata, Aves, Passeriformes, Pipridae.